RNAcentral lists this ribosomal RNA (1440 nucleotides) under uncultured bacterium. RNAcentral's name for it is "bacterial SSU rRNA". It matches the Rfam family "Bacterial small subunit ribosomal RNA". The record is from RNAcentral.
AGGGUUUGAUCAUGGCUCAGAACGUACGCUGGCGGCACGCCUAACACAUGCAAGUCGAACGAAGUAGCAAUACUUAGUGGCAGACGGGUGAGUAACAUGUAGGUAUCUGCCCUUUGGCCUGGAAUAACACGAGGAAACUUGUGCUAAUACCGGAUAAGUCUUUACGGAGAAAGCUUUAUGCACCAUUGGAUGAGCCUGCACUUGAUUAGUUUGUUGGUGGGGUAAUGGCCUACCAAGACUGUGAUCAAUAGCUGAUUUGAGAGGAUGAUCAGCCACAUUGGGACUGAGACACGGCCCAAACUCCUACGGGAGGCAGCAGUGGGGAAUCUUGCACAAUGGAGGAAACUCUGAUGCAGCGAUGCCGCGUGAGUGAAGAAGGCCCUUGGGUUGUAAAGCUCUUUCGUCGGGGAAGAAAAUGACUGUACCCGAAUAAGAAGGUCCGGCUAACUUCGUGCCAGCAGCCGCGGUAAUACGAAGGGACCUAGCGUAGUUCGGAAUUACUGGGCUUAAAGAGUUCGUAGGUGGUUGAAAAAGUUAGUGGUGAAAUCCCAGAGCUUAACUCUGGAACUGCCAUUAAAACUUUUCAGCUAGAGUAUGAUAGAGGAAAGCAGAAUUUCUAGUGUAGAGGUGAAAUUCGUAGAUAUUAGAAAGAAUACCAAUUGCGAAGGCAGCUUUCUGGAUCAUUACUGACACUGAGGAACGAAAGCAUGGGUAGCGAAGAGGAUUAGAUACCCUCGUAGUCCAUGCCGUAAACGAUGUGUGUUAGACGUUGGAAAUUUAUUUUCAGUGUCGCAGGGAAACCGAUAAACACACCGCCUGGGGAGUACGACCGCAAGGUUAAAACUCAAAUGAAUUGACGGGGACCCGCACAAGUAGUGGAGCAUGUGGUUUAAUUCGAAGAUACGCGCAGAACCUUACCAACACUUGACAUGUUCGUCGCGACUCUAAGAGAUUAGAGUUUUCGGUUCGGCCGGACGAAACACAGGUGCUGCAUGGCUGUCGUCAGCUCGUGUCGUGAGAUGUUGGGUUAAGUCCCGCAACGAGCGCAACCCUCACUUUUAGUUGCCAUCAUUAAGUUGGGCACUCUGAAAGAACUGCCAGUGAUAAGCUGGAGGAAGGUGGGGAUGACGUCAAGUCCUCAUGGCCCUUACGUGUUGGGCUACACACGUGCUACAAUGGUAUCUACAACAGGAAGCAAGACUGCGAAGUUAAGCAAAUCCCUAAAAGAUACCUCAGUUCGGAUUGCACUCUGCAACUCGAGUGCAUGAAGCUGGAAUUACUAGUAAUCGUGGAUCAGCGUGCCACGGUGAAUGCGUUCCCGGGUCUUGUACACACCGCCCGUCACACCAUGGGAGUUGGUUCUACCUUAAGGCAAGGUUUCAAACCCUUGACCACGGUAUAGUCAGCGACUGGGGUGAAGUCAUAACAAAGGUAGCCGUA